UAGGUAAGGAUAGUGUGGGUUAACAAAGAACAUAGGCUUAACAAGGUUCAACGGGGUUAAACUUAAACACAUAAUGAAAUAGGGGCACGGCAAUUUGGCUUUGGUGGUUACUACACAACUUCAUCUUGAAUAUGUGUUAUGCAAAUCAAUAGCAUGCUUUGAAUGAAAUAGGCAUGAGUUCUAGCAUUUGGAACUAAAUGAUAAAACACCUUCUAAGUAGCAACCACGCAAAGAAUAAUGAGAUCAUGCAACGACUUUAGAAAACAAUGAUGCACAGAUUAUUAACUCUCCAAAUAAACGUUUAGGCCCAAGUCUCACAAGGUUGUAGCGUUCAUUUGAGUUCCUUCCUUCAAGCAUGUUACAAAAACUGAUUUUUCCUUUAUGAUUGCAUGUGAAUUCAUAAUUAUAACCACAACCAAGCAUACACCAAAGAGUAAAUCAAUUUUCAUCCAUGUUUAUGACUCUCUUUAACAGUCAUGUAAUUAAAAACCAAAUCCUCAUCAUUGUGUUGGAAGGUACCCUAAGACACAAAUAAACACACAAAAACAACUCUUUUUGGGUUUUUCAAAACAAUUUUUCAAAUUUUUUAUGAGAUUUUCGGAUUUUUAUGUCAAAACACACUAUAACACUCCAAAACAGCUUAAAAACACUUAAAACAGCAAGGAACAACACUAGAAGUAAUGGGUGAUAAACUCCUACGAAUUUCAUGCAAAACAAUGGUUACCCCCCACACUUAAACCAAACAUUGUCCUUAAUGUUUCAAGCAUAAACUCACACAAAAACAAGCAAACAAACAAACAACGAAUAAACAUGACAAGUAUGGCAAAGUAAAAACCAGACAGAGUAGAGUUUAAGAACGCAAAUUUGGUUUUAGAGAUAGAUGAACUUGUUGACUUUCCACAGCUUUGAUCUCGAACUGGUUUGGAAUUCUGAGCGAAGACUAUGAGAGUUCCUUGGUUUCAAAUCAGACUCCUUCUUCUCGGUUGAUUUGAUUGUGCAGUCUGCAUUCUUCUCUGCUUGUUUCUUCUGCACGGCAG
This 1037-nucleotide long non-coding RNA is filed under the name Malus domestica (apple). RNAcentral's name for it is "long non-coding RNA (MDOM_LNC020424)". Lineage: Eukaryota; Viridiplantae; Streptophyta; Magnoliopsida; Rosales; Rosaceae. The record is from RNAcentral.